UACGUAGGUGGCAAGCGUUGUCCGGAUUUACUGGGCGUAAAGAGCGCGCAGGCGGUCGGAUUAGUCGCGUGUGAAAGCCCCCGGCUCAACUGGGGAGGGUCACGCGAUACUGUUCGACUCGAAGGCAGGAGAGGGAAGUGGAAUUCCCGGUGUAGUGGUGAAAUGCGUAGAUAUCCGGAAGAACACCGGUGGCGAAGGCGGUCUGCUGGGCAGUUGCUGACACUGAGGCGCGACAGCGUGGGGAGCAAACAGG
Molecule: ribosomal RNA, 253 nt
Filed under: uncultured bacterium
Lineage: Bacteria
Description: partial 16S ribosomal RNA
Rfam family: Bacterial small subunit ribosomal RNA
Source: RNAcentral